CUUUACGGAUCACAAUUAAUGUGACAUAUCAUUCAUGUUUCUGACCUAUCAGCUUUAGAGGGUAGGGUAUUGGCCUACCGUGGCAAUGACGGGUAACGGGGAAUUAGGGUUCGAUUCCGGAGAGGGAGCCUGAGAAACGGCUACCACAUCUAAGGAAGGCAGCAGGCGCGCAAAUUACCCAAUCCUAAUACAGGGAGGUAGUGACAAGAAAUAACAAUACAGGACUUUUUUGGUUUUGUAAUUGGAAUGAGUUAAGUAUAAACCCCUUUACAAGUAUCAAUUGGAGGGCAAGUCUGGUGCCAGCAGCCGCGGUAAUUCCAGCUUAAUA
This 328-nucleotide ribosomal RNA is filed under the name Cryptosporidium parvum. Its description in RNAcentral is "SSU rRNA". It matches the Rfam family "Eukaryotic small subunit ribosomal RNA", at positions 260 to 596 of the family's 1831-position model. Lineage: Eukaryota; Apicomplexa; Conoidasida; Eucoccidiorida; Cryptosporidiidae. The record is from RNAcentral.